CGCUAUUUCGUCACCGCGCGCACUCGCUGACUGAAUUCUCUCCUCAGAAAUAACAAAGUGAAGAUGUACGAAUAUUUUUGCUCAAACGUCAGAUUUCGCCGAGGGAAGACAGCAGGGACGAGGAGCCUACAAACGGUCAACAAACUGGUGGCAGUGGGGUUGUGAAGAUUGUAUGCAAACACUGGCACAUGGAAACAACAAAUAGCAGUCUAAGUCCUGUCCGGACCUGUUCCUGUGAGUCCUGCCGCUGGUUCUCCAUGCCUGGCACUUGGUCUGCUUCGGAGUCGGCAGUCAACAAGUAUCUGAGCUCGACUCUAUGGUGCUUUGUUUGGUCCUCUAUCUGCCUAGUCUUGCCACUCCUUUUGCUGCUAUUGUAAUCUGCCAGUUGCUGUCCGAGACCGUUCCAGUGGUCUUCUCCAGCUGUCUCAUUGUUUACGGUGUUCUUGAUGUUGUAUUACAUGUGUACCUCUCUACUCUCUUGUAUCAGUCUGUUCUGUCAAUAAACCUUUG
Long non-coding RNA from Onychostoma macrolepis, 510 nucleotides. RefSeq lists it as uncharacterized. The record is from RefSeq and is a predicted model, not a curated record. The transcript is spliced from 3 exons. Lineage: Eukaryota; Metazoa; Chordata; Actinopteri; Cypriniformes; Cyprinidae.